CCUACGGGUGGCAGCAGUGGGGAAUAUUGGGCAAUGGGCGCAAGCCUGACCCAGCAACGCCGCGUGAAGGAAGAAGGCUUUCGGGUUGUAACCUGCUUUUCGCAGGGACGAAGCAAGUGACGGUACCUGAGGAAUAAGCCACGGCUAACUACGGGCCAGGAGCCGCGGGAAUACGUAGGUGGCAAGCGGUAUCCGGAUUUACUGGGGGUAAAGGGGGUGUAGGGGGGAAAGCAAGUCAGAUGUGAAAACCAUGGGCUCAACCUGGGGCCUGCAUUUGAAACUGUUUUUCUUGAGUACUGGAGAGGCAGACGGAAUUCCUAGUGUAGCGGUGAAAUGCGUAGAUAUUAGGAGGAACACCAGUGGCGAAGGCGGUCUGCUGGACAGCAACUGACGCUGAGGCGCGAAAGCGUGGGGAGCAAACAGGAUUAGAUACCCGAGUAGUC
This 443-nucleotide ribosomal RNA is filed under the name uncultured bacterium. RNAcentral's name for it is "partial 16S ribosomal RNA". It matches the Rfam family "Bacterial small subunit ribosomal RNA", at positions 338 to 795 of the family's 1533-position model. The record is from RNAcentral.